This 491-nucleotide ribosomal RNA is filed under the name uncultured bacterium. Its description in RNAcentral is "partial 16S ribosomal RNA". It matches the Rfam family "Bacterial small subunit ribosomal RNA", at positions 28 to 507 of the family's 1533-position model. The record is from RNAcentral.
GAUGAACGCUAGCUACAGGCUUAACACAUGCAAGUCGAGGGGAAACGACAUCGAAAGCUUGCUUUUGAUGGGCGUCGACCGGCGCACGGGUGAGUAACGCGUAUCCAGCCUGCCCAUCACUUGGGAAUAACCUUGCGAAAGUAAGACUAAUACCCAAUGAUAUCCCACGAAGGCAUCGGAAUGGGAUUAAAGAUUUAUCGGUGAUGGAUGGGGAUGCGUCUGAUUAGCUUGUUGGCGGGGUAACGGCCCACCAAGGCAACGAUCAGUAGGGGUUCUGAGAGAAGGGCCCCCACAUUGGAACUGAGACACGGUCCAAACUCCUACGGGAGGCAGCAGUGAGGAAUAUUGGUCAAUGGGCGAGAGCCUGAACCAGCCAAGUAGCGUGCAGGAAGACGGCCCUAUGGGUUGUAAACUGCUUUUAUAAGGGAAUAAAGUGGGUCACGUGUGACUUUUUGCAUGUACCUUAUGAAUAAGGACCGGCUAAUUCCGUG